AGACGUAGGUGGCGAGCGUUGUCCGGAAUUACUGGGCGUAAAGGGCGUGUAGGCGGCCUUUCAAGUCAGGCGUGAAAUUCCUGGGCUCAACCCAGGGACUGCGUUUGAGACUGAGGGGCUUGAGGACAGGAGAGGGAAGUGGAACUCCGUGUGUAGCGGUGAAAUGCGUAGAUAUACGGAAGAACACCAGUGGCGAAGGCGGCUUCCUGGACUGUCCCUGACGCUGAGGCGCGAAAGCCAGGGGAGCGAACGGGAUUAGAUACCCCGGUAGUCCUGGCUGUAAACGAUGGGUACUAGGUGUGGGGGGUAUCGACCCCUCCCGUGCCGGAGUUAACACAAUAAGUACCCCGCCUGGGGAGUACGGCCGCAAGGUUGAA
Molecule: ribosomal RNA, 377 nt
Filed under: uncultured bacterium
Lineage: Bacteria
Description: bacterial SSU rRNA
Rfam family: Bacterial small subunit ribosomal RNA
Source: RNAcentral